AUUGGGAUUGAGCUUUGUGGGUCAGACGCUGUUUCCCGAUUGUGGUCUGGGAGCCCAGGCUGAGCAGCUGCUGCUCCCCCAGUGGGAUCGGGGCAGGGGAGUGACCAUGAGUGAAGCUUCCUGUGCCAGCCAAGAGUCGAGAACAUCCAUCUGCGAGGAAAGAGCCGGGGGAAAUUGUGAUGUGACGUGACUGUCCUGUUCUGACACGUCCCCUUCAUGCCCUGACAGGCUGCAGUGUCACGUCCCAUCCUCCCAGGGAAGAGAGAUGGCUGCCCUGGGGCCAGCUCAGAUAGGGAUUAUCGGGCAGUUGCUGGUGGGCUCCUGUUGGCGGCAGAAAGGCUGUAAAGCCAUAGGAGGGACUGGUGACUUUCGAGGAGGUGGCUGUGUAUUUCACCAGGGAAGAGUGGGCUCUGCUGGACCCCGCUCAGAGCGCCCUUUACAGACGUGUCAUGCAGGAGAACUACAAGAACGUGACCUCGCUGGGUAAGGAUUCCCAUCCCCUGAGUUCUUAGAAGGGGAAAUGAAGAGUUAAGGUUCACAAUACACCCUCGGCGUUUCCCUGUUUCAGCGACACCCCGAGAGGCCAGUGAGACGCAGACCAGCGCUCUGCCCUCCCCGCUACAGAACACUUUGGGAGCAGAGCACAGGCGCAGGACAGUGCAAACUCUGACACCGUCUCUUUGCUAAGGCAAAACUUGGGGUUAGGUCCGAUGUAGGGAACAGAAGCUGCCUCCCCCCGGCCUGCUCUCAGAUCCUGAGCCUACUGCACACAAUCCAUCUUGGACUUUCAUAAUGUCACCAUCCCUUUACCCUUCCAAUGAGGAUUCCUUCUGAGUCCUUGCCUUCACUUACCCCUCACUGAGCCCCAGGGACCCCAGGCAUGUAUGGCACCAGCCUGCUGACAAACCUUGUGGCAAGAACACACCCUUGUGCGCCUUUAUUGAUGCUGCCUACACCACUCCGCACUGAAAUGAGGAAUACCUGUUCCUUCCAGUUUCAUGUGCACCUCUCUCGGUGUCACAGCUCUGCCAAGCUAGUCCCUCCACUGUUCAUGUAAAGCUACAGCUGGCACAGUGCACGCUGCUGGAGUGCCUGCGAAUAAAUGCUGGUAUUCACAUCUGAGGGACACAACGCACAAUGGCAUGUGCUGAGUCCUUCCUUCUGUCAAUCAAGACAUUUUAAGGCCAAGGGAGACUAUUCGGUCAUCUAGUCUGACCUCCUGUGUAAUACGGGCCAAGAGAGGUUGUGGGAUCCUGGUCACUGGAGGUUUUGAAGAAGAGGUUAAACCGAUGGUCUGUGUAUACUUGGUCCUGCCUCACGGCUGGAGGAUGGACUAACUGACACCUUGAGGUCCUUUUACCCCGUGUGUUUGUUAUUUUAUGAUUCAUGCUCCUAGCCCUUCACUUUGACUUGUCUCCCUCUGGAGAAUGGGGGCUUUAUUUAGUAGGUUUUUUAAUGACAAAUAAGCAUGGGUCAGCUUCCCUCUCAAUGUGCUUCGUUACUGACUGGGUGUGAAGGAGUGAAUUCCUCUCCUGGGAUGGAGGUGUAAUUCCUGUUGAAGUAGCAUAGGCCUGUCUCCAUUUACAUGGAAACACGAUCGAGAACUGUCCGUGUAUGAAUGCAGCACACUGGACAAUGCAAAGCCUCUCUCAUGUGGCUGUAAAUACCUACUGGCUGCAGCACCCCAGAAGAGACGGUGUUUAUAAGGAGUCUGAAAUCAUUGAGACUCGCUGAGGUGCCAUCAUGACACACAAGGGUGCUGCCUCCAAAAUGCCCUGUCUCAGAGUGGUGGAGCUGUGGGGAACAC
Molecule: long non-coding RNA, 1807 nt
Organism: Gopherus flavomarginatus (Mexican gopher tortoise)
Lineage: Eukaryota; Metazoa; Chordata; Testudines; Testudinidae
Exons: 3
Source: RefSeq, a predicted model, not a curated record